AGUAGUUAAAGAAUGAGUCUUUGUACUCAAAACAUGAACACAAUGAGUAGACUUCAAGUCUGUUCCAUUCCAAGGACUUGUUAGAGGCACACUUGAGAGGUCAAUAGUUACUAGUUGACAUAAUUGGUGAGACAACACUGACCAGGCUAUGAAGUUCAUAGCCUGGAAUUUAGCUAAAUUAAUAAGAUACCAGCAAGUCAGUGUCAGCAAUGAGGAAGUAGGAGAGGGAUAGCAAUGGACCAAGCAAAUGCCACUUCAGGAGACAGCUGGUGAGGCAUUCAGGCUUGGUUCUUAGUAUUUAUAGCUCAUUUCAAAAUGGGGAAAUAAUUUGUAAAUGGCUUGUAAAUAUUGACAAGAUACCACUGAUAGUUCAUACCAUAUAAUCUUUAGAUAAAAACAGAUCUUUCUUUCAGUAGUUUCAAAUGCAUAAAUUGAUGCAUUCAUUUGAAUUCAGUUUGACAUUAUCUUAAGGAUUUUAAAGAUAAGUUUUACAGGAAAGUAUAAAUCUAUUAAGGUUUUUCUUUCUUUGGUUUUGUUUUCGUUUUUAAUGUUUUCUGAGAUAGAGGUAUUUCCUUGGCACCUUGACGCUAGCUUGUAGAAAGGAGACUUUUGAAUGAUCACCAGAAGGAUGAGUUUUGAGUGGUGACAGUUUUUAUAAAAACUUUACACAGCUUAAUCUUUCAGAAAGUCAGAGUGUGUGGCUUAGAGGAACUGGAUGUUAGAUGAAGAAGCAUGAUUCAAUUAUGAUCUAAAACCUGAAGAUAUAUGGCCAACAAGUAGAUAUGGAGCAACUCAGAAGUGCAUUUUAAAAUCAUAAUAGAGUGCUCCUUUAUAAUCAUCAGAAGGGUAAAACUAUUGCAAUCUGGUAACCCCUUGUGUUGUAUUUGUGGAACUGUGGAUAUGCUUUGAAGGAUACAUGAUACCCAGAUACUGCAAUUUUAACUCAAAAGAGAAGGUUUAGUAGACUCUUAAACAAAGAACGCACACAAGAAUGUUAAUAGUGCUCAUGUUCAUGAGAGAACGGCAAAUUAAAUGCUUACCAAUGCAAAUUAUAUUGUUAUGAAAUGGAAUGUUGUGCAUGAGUAAAAAUGAAUGAUGUUAGAUUAUCAAUUUUGGACAGUCUUGCAACUGAAUAGAAAACAUGCAGUUUGCAGAAUUUCUAUGUAAAAGUUAAAAGCAUGUAAAUACUGCAGAUUAUUUAGAAGCAGGUGUCCAAGGUUUUUUGUUUUUUUGGUUUUU
This 1239-nucleotide long non-coding RNA is filed under the name Mus musculus (house mouse). RNAcentral describes it as "long non-coding RNA chr7:82707577-82708816". Lineage: Eukaryota; Metazoa; Chordata; Mammalia; Rodentia; Muridae. The record is from RNAcentral.